GAGCGGACAUGACGUGUGGCUGUCGUAAAAACCCUAUUUGUAAACAACCAGCCCUUUAACUCGGGGCUGCGUCAUAAACACGGCGCGCUUGGAAGACCACGAUGUCAUCUUCCUUCUGUCAGGAGGAUCCAAGUGAAGCUACAGGAGUUUCAUUAACGUCAACAACUUGGACCAAACAGUUUGUUUUGCUUGAUGAAGAGCAGGAAGGGCAGCCUGGAGAGAAAGAGAAGCCGGGUUGAGCCCACUACCAUCAUCCACGUACCACGAGGAAGAUGAGGGAGAGAAAUGAUCCUACCAUUAAAGAGACUGUGAAAAGAACGUUGAGAACAUCACCACUCUACAGGAAGACACAGUCCAGUAAUGGGUGUCAGAAGUUCAGUAGUGAACGACAGAAACAAACAAUCCAAAUUACCUGCAGAAAGCCCUUGAUGGACGCUUCAGCUGCAUCGUCAGACUGGCAGUACUGAUGCAUUUACUGAGACGGGACGUGAGGGCCUACUCUGCGUGCUCAGAGUUCAAGCCCAGCAGGCUGCAGCGGGCCUGACAUAUUCUGGAACAGCAGCACAGUCUUUGGAUGACUCCUCUGAAGAUGAAAACAUGGCGAGUUCUUCUCAAGAGAAGCAGUACAGGUGUGCCUCAGCUCCACGGUCCCUCCUGCAGCCUCCGCUCCUGAUGCUAACCUCAUGUCUCCAUCACACCAAGCAGCAGACCUGGAUUGACAGACCUUUCUCCAGAGCUGCCCCCUCCCUCUGAAACCCCCCUCUCCAAAACACUAUUUGUGUAGUUUUUAAAGUAUUUUUUGCAUGAGAAUUGUUGAUCAUAACAUUUCCAGCAGAUGCCUUAAUAUAAUGUUUGUGCACAAUAAAU
Long non-coding RNA from Pleuronectes platessa (European plaice), 867 nucleotides. RefSeq lists it as uncharacterized. The record is from RefSeq and is a predicted model, not a curated record. The transcript has 6 exons. NCBI's taxonomy places the organism in Eukaryota, Metazoa, Chordata, Actinopteri, Pleuronectiformes, Pleuronectidae.